GUGGGGAAUUUUGGACAAUGGGCGAAAGCCUGAUCCAGCAAUGCCGCGUGCAGGAUGAAGGCCCUCGGGUUGUAAACUGCUUUUGUACGGAACGAAAAGCCUGGGGCUAAUAUCCCCGGGUCAUGACGGUACCGUAAGAAUAAGCACCGGCUAACUACGUGCCAGCAGCCGCGGUAAUACGUAGGUUGCAAGCGUUAAUCGGAAUUACUGGGCGUAAAGCGUGCGCAGGCGGUUUUGUAAGAAAGUGGUGAAAUCACCGGGCUCAACCUGGGAACUGCCAUUGUGACUGCAAGGCUAGAGUGCGGCAGAGGGGGAUGGAAUUCCGCGUGUAGCAGUGAAAUGCGUAGAUAUGCGGAGGAACACCGAUGGCGAAGGCAAUCCCCUGGGCCUGCACUGACGCUCAUGCACGAAAGCGUGGGGAGCAAACAGGAUUAGAUACCCGAGUAGUCC
This 450-nucleotide ribosomal RNA is filed under the name uncultured bacterium. RNAcentral describes it as "partial 16S ribosomal RNA". It matches the Rfam family "Bacterial small subunit ribosomal RNA", at positions 354 to 796 of the family's 1533-position model. The record is from RNAcentral.